CAGGAUGAACGCUAGCUACAGGCUUAACACAUGCAAGUCGAGGGGCAGCAUGAUCUUAGCUUGCUAAGAUUGAUGGCGACCGGCGCACGGGUGAGUAACGCGUAUCCAACCUUCCCCUUAGUAGGGCAUAGCCCGGUGAAAAUCGGAUUAAUACCCUAUGUUGUGUCAUGAGGACAUCUGAAUAACACUAAAGAUUUAUCGCUAAGGGAUGGGGAUGCGUCCGAUUAGGUAGUCGGCGGGGUAACGGCCCACCGAGCCCUCGAUCGGUAGGGGUUCUGAGAGGAAGGUCCCCCACACUGGUACUGAGACACGGACCAGACUCCUACGGGAGGCAGCAGUGAGGAAUAUUGGUCAAUGGGCGUAAGCCUGAACCAGCCAAAAGUAGCGUGCAGGAUGACGGCCCUAUGGGUUGUAAACUGUCUUUUAUACGGGGAUAAAGGGAGGGACGUGUCCCUUAUUGUAGGUACCGUAUGAAUAAGGACCGGCUAAUUCCGUGCCAGCCGCCGC
This 507-nucleotide ribosomal RNA is filed under the name uncultured bacterium. Its description in RNAcentral is "bacterial SSU rRNA". It matches the Rfam family "Bacterial small subunit ribosomal RNA", at positions 25 to 518 of the family's 1533-position model. The record is from RNAcentral.